RNAcentral lists this ribosomal RNA (196 nucleotides) under uncultured Gammaproteobacteria bacterium. RNAcentral's name for it is "partial 16S ribosomal RNA". It matches the Rfam family "Bacterial small subunit ribosomal RNA", at positions 335 to 523 of the family's 1533-position model. Lineage: Bacteria; Pseudomonadati; Pseudomonadota; Gammaproteobacteria. The record is from RNAcentral.
ACUCCCACGGGGGGCAGCAGUGGGGAAUAUUGCGCAAUGGGCGCAAGCCUGAUGCAGCCAUGCCGCGUGUGUGAAGAAGGCCUUCGGGUCGUAAAGCACUUUCAGUUGUGAGGAAGGUUGUGUGGUUAAUACCCAUGUAAUUUGACGUUAGCAACAGAAGAAGCACCGGCUAACUCCGUGCCAGCAGCCGCGGUAA